RNAcentral lists this ribosomal RNA (142 nucleotides) under Scophthalmus maximus (turbot). RNAcentral's name for it is "partial small subunit ribosomal RNA". The record is from RNAcentral. Lineage: Eukaryota; Metazoa; Chordata; Actinopteri; Pleuronectiformes; Scophthalmidae.
AACUGGGAUUAGAUACCCCACUAUGCUUAGCCCUAAACAUCGAUUUAAUUGCCCUAUUAAAUCCGCCCGGGAAUUACGAACAUAAGUUUAAAACCCCAAGGACUUGGCGGUGCUUUAUAUCCACCUAGAGGAGCCUGUUCUA